UACGGAGGGUGCAAGCGUUAGUCGGAAUUACUGGGCGUAAAGGGUGCGUAGGCGGGGAUGUAAGUUAGAUGUGAAAUACCGUUGCUCAACAACGGCCGUGCAUCUAAAACUGCAUUUCUAGAGGGAUAGCGGAGAAAACGGAAUUCCACGUGUAGCGGUGAAAUGCGUAGAUAUGUGGAAGAACACCUGUGGCGAAAGCGGUUUUCUAGCUUGACCCUGACGCUGAGGCACGAAAGCAAGGGGAGCAAACAGG
Molecule: ribosomal RNA, 253 nt
Filed under: uncultured bacterium
Lineage: Bacteria
Description: partial 16S ribosomal RNA
Rfam family: Bacterial small subunit ribosomal RNA
Source: RNAcentral